This 253-nucleotide ribosomal RNA is filed under the name uncultured bacterium. Its description in RNAcentral is "partial 16S ribosomal RNA". It matches the Rfam family "Bacterial small subunit ribosomal RNA", at positions 524 to 776 of the family's 1533-position model. The record is from RNAcentral.
UACGUAGGGGGCAAGCGUUGUCCGGAUUUAUUGGGCGUAAAGAGCGUGUAGGCGGCCAAGCAGGUCAGCUGUGAAAACUCGAGGCUCAACCUCGAGACGUCGGUUGAAACCGCUUGGCUAGAGUCCGGAAGAGGAGAGUGGAAUUCCCGGUGUAGCGGUGAAAUGCGCAGAUAUCGGGAAGAACACCCGUGGCGAAGGCGGCUCUCUGGGACGGUACUGACGCUGAGACGCGAAAGCGCGGGGAGCGAACAGG